AUUGAACGCUGGCGGCAUGCUUUACACAUGCAAGUCGAACGGCAGCGCGGGCUUCGGCCUGGCGGCGAGUGGCGAACGGGUGAGUAAUACAUCGGAACGUGCCCAGUAGUGGGGGAUAGCUCGGCGAAAGCCGGAUUAAUACCGCAUACGACCUGAGGGUGAAAGCGGGGGAUCUUCGGACCUCGCGCUAUUGGAGCGGCCGAUGGCAGAUUAGCUAGUUGGUGGGGUAAAGGCCUACCAAGGCGACGAUCUGUAGCUGGUCUGAGAGGACGACCAGCCACACUGGGACUGAGACACGGCCCAGACUCCUACGGGAGGCAGCAGUGGGGAAUUUUGGACAAUGGGCGAAAGCCUGAUCCAGCAAUGCCGCGUGUGUGAUGAAGGCCUUCGGGUUGUAAAGCACUUUUGGCGGGUACGAAAAGGACUGUGCCAAUACCACGGUUCGAUGACGGUACCCGCAGAAUAAGCACCGGCUAACUACGUG
RNAcentral lists this ribosomal RNA (484 nucleotides) under uncultured bacterium. RNAcentral's name for it is "partial 16S ribosomal RNA". It matches the Rfam family "Bacterial small subunit ribosomal RNA", at positions 29 to 507 of the family's 1533-position model. The record is from RNAcentral.